AAAUUACCCAAUCCCGACUCGGGGAGGUAGUGACAAGAAAUAACAAUGCCGGUCCCAUCGAGGUCCGGCAAUUGGAAUGAGAACAAUCCAAACCCCUUAACGAGGAACAAUUGGAGGGCAAGUCUGGUGCCAGCAGCCGCGGUAAUUCCAGCUCCAAUAGUGUAUGCUAAAGCUGCUGCAGUUGAAGCGCUCGUAGUUGUACGUCGGGGCCCGGGCUCCGUCCUCCCUCGCGGAUGGGCGCCCCGCUCGGUCGUCGCGGUCCGCCGAGAGGCGAGCACUGCGCGGCGGCCCCCGUCUCUCUCGGGAGCCCCGGCUGCUCUUGACUGAGCGGUCGGGGGUUUCGGGACGUUUACUUUGAACAAAUUAGAGUGUUCCAAGCAGGCCGGUCGCUUUGAAUACGUUAGCAUGGAAUAAUGGAAUAGGGCCGCUCGUCCUAUUUUGUUGGUUUUCGGGACGGCAGUCAUGGUCGAUAGGGACAGUUGGGGGCAUUCGUAUUCAGUUGUCAGAGGUGAAAUUCUCGGAUUUGCGGAAGACGAGCGACUGCGAAAGCAUUUGCCAAGGAUGUUUUCAUUAAUCAAGAACGAAAGUUGGGGGUUCGAAGACGAUCAGAUACCGUCGUAGUCCCAACCGUAAACGAUGCCGGCCGGGGAUCGGCGGACGUCGGGUACGACUCCGUCGGCACCCGUGGAGAAAUCCCGAGCCUCUGGGUUCCGGGGGGAGUAUGGUCGCAAGGCUGAAACUUAAAGGAAUUGACGGAAGGGCACCACCAGGAGUGGAGCCUGCGGCUUAAUUUGACUCAACACGGGGAACCUCACCAGGUCCGGACAUGGGAAGGAUGACAGAUCGAG
RNAcentral lists this non-coding RNA (848 nucleotides) under Amphimedon queenslandica. RNAcentral's name for it is "Eukaryotic small subunit ribosomal RNA". It matches the Rfam family "Eukaryotic small subunit ribosomal RNA", at positions 438 to 1252 of the family's 1831-position model. Lineage: Eukaryota; Metazoa; Porifera; Demospongiae; Haplosclerida; Niphatidae. The record is from Rfam by way of RNAcentral.